Long non-coding RNA from Lates calcarifer (barramundi perch), 765 nucleotides. RefSeq lists it as uncharacterized. The transcript is spliced from 2 exons. The record is from RefSeq and is a predicted model, not a curated record. NCBI's taxonomy places the organism in Eukaryota, Metazoa, Chordata, Actinopteri, Centropomidae.
GCUGCUGCAUCACGGCAGCUUCUCAGAGAGCUGCAGGCCACUGCUCCACAUGUACGACCAGGUGAUCCCUGCUGUACGAGACACGCUGAGGAAGAUCCCCGAGUUGAGCGAGAGCGAGGAGCUGGCAUUGGAAGAGAUCUGCCGCUCGGAGGGAGACGACACUGAUGACAUGGACACUGACACUGGUUCCUGACUGACUCCAUCAGUGACCAAUGAACAGACAAAAGACGGUUUACUGACGGUCAAUGUGAUGUUUCUGAGACUGAGACAAAGACAGACAGACCAGAGAGUCUGUUUUCAGUCAAACAUUCUUGAGUUAAAGUGGAUGUUGGAAAGAAAUGAAGGAUUAGAGAGAAAUCAGUGAUAUUAACUGAAGUGAUGAAACAGUUUACAGGAUUUAAUCUGCUGAUUUAACAAUAAAACAUUAAGGUAAGAAAAACUGAUGCAGUCAAUGUUCACGUUCACCUGCGGUAUAUUCUGUCUUCAGUCUUUCACCACCUCCUGUCUCACCUGUCCAUACUCUUCUUUAACAGUCAGGGCUGCUGCUUGUCUUGGACAUCUGUUAAAUAUGUAGUUACAGGUAGGUACACGUGCUAGGAACUAUUUGGAUAUUUUUCCACAAUUAUUAAUGUCUUUGCCUGCACCAAUACUUAAAAUACAUUUUCCUAAAAACACUUUUUUUCUGUACUUCUCUGUAAUACCCUAAAAACUUUCACCCAACUUUUAAACAGUCAUUUUUUAACAAAAUAAAAAUUUUAUCAAGUA